UACGAAGGGUGCAAGCGUUACUCGGAAUUACUGGGCGUAAAGCGUGCGUAGGUGGUCUGUUAAGUCUGAUGUGAAAGCCCUGGGCUCAACCUGGGAAUUGCAUUGGAUACUGGCAGGCUAGAGUGCGGUAGAGGGCAGUGGAAUUCCCGGUGUAGCAGUGAAAUGCGUAGAGAUCGGGAGGAACAUCUGUGGCGAAGGCGACUGCCUGGACCAGCACUGACACUGAGGCACGAAAGCGUGGGGAGCAAACAGG
Molecule: ribosomal RNA, 253 nt
Filed under: uncultured bacterium
Lineage: Bacteria
Description: partial 16S ribosomal RNA
Rfam family: Bacterial small subunit ribosomal RNA
Source: RNAcentral